AAAUGAAUUGACGGGGACUCGCACAAGCGGUGGAGCAUGCGGUUUAAUUCGAUGCAACGCGAAGAACCUUACCAGGUCUUGACAUCCCGUUGACCGGGCUAGAGAUAGUCCUUCCCUUCGGGGCAACGGAGACAGGUGGUGCAUGGUUGUCGUCAGCUCGUGUCGUGAGAUGUUGGGUUAAGUCCCACAACGAGCGCAACCCUUAUCAUUAGUUGCUAACAUUAAGUUGAGAACUCUAAUGAGACCGCCGGUGAUAAACCGGAUGAAGGUGGGGAUGACGUCAAAUCAUCAUGCCCCUUAUGACCUGGGCUACACGCGUGCUACAAUGGCUAGUACAAAGAGUCGCAAUACCGUGAGGUGGAGCUAAUCUCAUAAAACUAGUCUCAGUUCGGAUUGUAGUCUGCAACUCGACUACAUGAAGUUGGAAUCGCUAGUAAUCGCAAAUCAGCAUGUUGCGGUGAAUACGUUCUCGAGUCUUGUACACACCGCCCGU
Molecule: ribosomal RNA, 493 nt
Filed under: uncultured bacterium
Lineage: Bacteria
Description: bacterial SSU rRNA
Rfam family: Bacterial small subunit ribosomal RNA
Source: RNAcentral